UGAUGCCUGAUUGGCAUUGCAUAUUCUUGCAGGAAGCUUUGGUUGGUGAGGCUUCAGGUGAAGAGCAACUUUUUUCUCCAAAAAAUAGCUUAGCUAGGGACAGAAUUGGUAGUGAGCUUGAGUAUUAUCAUGAAAAGAUCAAGGAGCAUUAUGGAGUAUCGUCUCAGGCUACUGAUGUGGGAUCAAGUCCUCUUGUACGUAGAUUUCAGGUGAUUGAUGCAUUAGUUAGCCUCUUCUGUCGUUCUAAUAUAUCUAUAGAG
Molecule: long non-coding RNA, 260 nt
Organism: Arachis duranensis
Lineage: Eukaryota; Viridiplantae; Streptophyta; Magnoliopsida; Fabales; Fabaceae
Exons: 3
Source: RefSeq, a predicted model, not a curated record